AACGAACGCUGGCGGCAUGCCUAACACAUGCAAGUCGAACGAGACCUUCGGGUCUAGUGGCGCACGGGUGCGUAACGCGUGGGAACCUGCCCUUAGGUUCGGCAUAACUCCCCGAAAGGGGUGCUAAUACCGGAUAAUGUCUUCGGACCAAAGAUUUAUCGCCUUUGGAUGGGCCCGCGUUGGAUUAGCUAGUUGGUAGGGUAAAAGCCUACCAAGGCGACGAUCCAUAGCUGGUCUGAGAGGAUGAUCAGCCACACUGGGACUGAGACACGGCCCAGACUCCUACGGGAGGCAGCAGUGGGGAAUAUUGGACAAUGGGCGAAAGCCUGAUCCAGCAAUGCCGCGUGAGUGAUGAAGGCCUUAGGGUUGUAAAGCUCUUUUACCCGGGAUGAUAAUGACAGUACCGGGAGAAUAAGCUCCGGCCAACUCCGUG
RNAcentral lists this ribosomal RNA (433 nucleotides) under uncultured bacterium. RNAcentral describes it as "partial 16S ribosomal RNA". It matches the Rfam family "Bacterial small subunit ribosomal RNA", at positions 29 to 507 of the family's 1533-position model. The record is from RNAcentral.